RNAcentral lists this transfer RNA (74 nucleotides) under Homo sapiens (human). RNAcentral's name for it is "tRNA-Gln-CTG-18-1". The record is from RNAcentral. Lineage: Eukaryota; Metazoa; Chordata; Mammalia; Primates; Hominidae.
GGCAGUAUGGUAGAGUGGUUAAGAUCAUGAACUCUGAAGUCAGAGAUACUUGAAUUUGAAUGCUGGUUCUGUCA